Long non-coding RNA from Culex pipiens pallens (northern house mosquito), 1207 nucleotides. RefSeq lists it as uncharacterized. Lineage: Eukaryota; Metazoa; Arthropoda; Insecta; Diptera; Culicidae. The transcript is spliced from 2 exons. The record is from RefSeq and is a predicted model, not a curated record.
GUAAAAGAGCAUUCUUUUAUUACGUAACGCAGUUGUUGGUGUGGGUUGAUAAAUAACUAAAGUUGAACUUUAGUUGAACUAAAAAAAGUUUAAUGCUGUUACUCGGUGAAGCAAUAACGUUGCCCAGGCACGAAAUAUUAUAGCAGAGCUGGUUCUCAAAACAAAUGGAGUGCUAGUGUGCGUGAGCUCGGGCUUAGAUAACUCACUAUUACACUAUGAAAAUAUCCAUGGCUAAUCCAAGGAACCAAAAGGUGGCAACAGAAAUGUUCGUCAAAAAGAGGUGCCGCAAAAAAACUUUUUUGAUCAAAUGUUCGAACAAAUCAGCAACAAUUAUCUCAUCAAUACCGAACCGGCGCCGGCUCAGGUGCUCAGCACGUCCUCGCUGGCAACGUUCUCUCUCUGAUUUUUCUUCGCGAUUGCGUCGAAGAACUUGGACAUCAUCCUAGAAGCUGCUUAUGGAAUUGAGCUUCGGCAAGGAGCAAACCGCUUCUACUGAAACUUAACAGGUCACCCCACAUUCGGUAUCGGACGGAAGUUUGAUUUGUUAAUAUGGUGUCAGUCGAAGUACAAGUACUUGCCCUUUAUUUAAAAAAUAUGCUUAAUGAAAAAAUAAUAAUAAAUAUACAAAAUUAUUGUUUAAGUGAUGUUCUCGCUAUCAUGUUAGAAUAGAUUUUUUAUUUAUAUUUAUUUUAUUUCACAACUUGACUUUGCGCAUGAUGAAUAAAAGCACAAUUCCCCGGCACAAGCAUCUACGAAUCGCACCUCACAAUCCUUUUUAGUAAACGUCUUUAUAAGUUUUACAUUAAAAUCGCGAUCCAAAUGAAAACUGUUCAGGUUAAGCAAAUUAUACCAGGCAGAGUCGAUGCUUGGAAGAACUGAGUCGCGCUGAGCGAACGGAACUGGUACUGCUUCUUCUGCACCUGCGGCUUGCGGUAUUUGAACGCGUUCAGCACGUAACCAAGAAGAUUUCAACUGAUUUCCCGACGAGCAGUACUCCUAGCACCAGCCUUUGACCAGCGGAACAUCGAUCACCCAUCGACAUUGUCCCGACGCAUGUUGAACGGCCGCGGCACCCACAGCAACAACAUCCCGUUUGGAGGAAGCAGUCCUUCAAGAGGAAUGCAACACUUCCAGCAGCGGUGCGACGAACCAAUUAAAACCUGGAGGGGGGGGAACAAAAUAAUGUCUUUAAUCACAGAAAAAACAA